RNAcentral lists this unclassified non-coding RNA (329 nucleotides) under soil metagenome. RNAcentral's name for it is "partial contains 5.8S ribosomal RNA, internal transcribed spacer 2, and large subunit ribosomal RNA". The stretch from base 1 to 120 matches the Rfam family "5.8S ribosomal RNA", at positions 35 to 154 of the family's 154-position model. The record is from RNAcentral.
GAUGAAGAACGUAGUGAAAUGCGAUAAGUAAUGUGAAUUGCAGAAUUCAGUGAAUCAUCGAAUCUUUGAACGCACAUUGCGCCCCCUGGUAUUCCGGGGGGCAUGCCUGUUCGAGCGUCAUUACAACCCUCAAGCUCUGCUUGGUUUUGGGCCCCGCCAGUUCUGGCGGGCCCUAAAGUCAGUGGCGGUGCCUUCCGGCUCCGAGCGUAGUAAUUCUUCUCGCUCUGGAGACCCGGUUGUGUGCUUGCCAACAACCCCCAAUUUUUUAAGGUUGACCUCGGAUCAGGUAGGGAUACCCGCUGAACUUAAGCAUAUCAAUAAGCGGAGGA